Bacillus rossius redtenbacheri is the source of this 3091-nucleotide long non-coding RNA. RefSeq lists it as uncharacterized. The record is from RefSeq and is a predicted model, not a curated record. Lineage: Eukaryota; Metazoa; Arthropoda; Insecta; Phasmatodea; Bacillidae. The transcript is spliced from 2 exons.
UUUAUGUUUAUUAUUAAGUUAGUUUCAGCUUCUGAUAGCAGGUUAUUAAGAGUUUACUUGAGGAGAGGAUUACGGAAUUUUAGUCUAUAGUGGAGGAAGUCUUUGAGAUUUUUUUUUUGACGUAACAGAUGUUUAUUUGAGGAUACUUGUAAGGAUAAAGUUUAUAGUGAUAAGUUGUUUUAAGUCGUUGAAUUUAUUGUAGAUUUAUAUCGGGGAUUAUUACGUGAGGAGAAUACGUUAUAAGUUAAAUGCUUAUUAGAGAUAAUGCAAGUGGUUUAAUUUAAUUGAAGUUCAUUUUAAGAUUGUAGGUUAAGAGAGUUAAAAUUUAAAAUAAAGUUUUUUUCGUAAAUAGGAAUUAUUUUCAAGUGAAGUUUGUUUUGUUGUCGUGCGCGUAGGAGACGAGACGUACGAAUUAAAUCAGUCGAGGGAAGGAUAAACGUUAGAAAGGAAUUAAAAAGAAAACGAGAGUUUAUGUAAAAGAGAGUUAUAGAAUUUAUAGUGAUGUUUUGUUUUAAUUAGAAAAAUGUUGAGAGUUGUUUCAGAACGACACGUCAGUGGACGUGGCAGAAUGAACACGUGACGGGGAGGUGCUGAAACCUAGCGGAGAACGGAGGAACCGCAAGCGAGGGUUGGCGCACCUGAUGGAAUUCGGUGACGUCACGGGCUCAUACGGAGACGUGGACAGGCCGUGACCUUGUUUUGAUCAGCUGUACGGUAACUUAGCGAUAAGAAAAUAGACUAUUGGUUAAAUAAAUUUAAAUUUAAGUGUGUUUUAGAAGAAGAGGAACUUUCAGUAUAUUCCUUAAGAUUAGCUGAGCAGCAGUCCAGUUUACAAGAUGACAAGAGUUCGAGAGACAAGAUACAAGAUCACUGAAACAAGAGCCAAGACUGAAGAUUCAAGAGAAGAGAAAGCUGGCAGCCAUGGACUUACAAGUGGAGAUUAAUAAGGUCAUGUAAAGUUUUAUUUUUUUUUAUGGAAGACAGUAACUGGAGUUUUUUUUUGUUAUAAACAUUAUUUACAGAACUUUUUAGGUUAUAGUAAUGUAAUGGAACUAGUGAGUUGUGGUAGCUGUCAAAAAGAACUAAUACCUUAAGUUUAAUUUUUAAAGUUAAUUUUCUUAAUUUACAGAGGGAUUAGUAGUUUUUUUAAAACCUUAUUUAGGUUGGAAUUUAAAUACAAUAGCUUAUUAUAAAUGUGUACGAACAGUUCAAGUUCACAGUACUGAUAGGUAGGUCAGAUGAUCUUAUUGAUUUUGAUGAUUUGUUGUUUUGAGUUGAUUUUUAAGUGUUGUGAAUUAGACAAUGAAAUAGUUCUGAAAACUUAAAUUAUUUCAAGCUAAGAAAUAGUAAAUUUAAUUUUAACUCAAAGGACACCAGAAUUUAAUUUUUUUUUGAAUUAGUAAUGUUUGAAAAUUUUAUACUUUACAAGAAAGGUUAUAAACAAACAGAUCGGAUGGAACAAGGAUGCAGUAAAUCACAAUUUCAUUUAGAAUUAUUGAUUAGCUUUUGAGGUUAUGAAGUAAAAGUAAUUAUAGUUUAAAAGUUUGAAUAAAAAAAAAAUGGUUUUUUUUAAUUUGUUUGAAAUAGAAAGUUUAAAAGUUAAUUAGUCAUGAUCUAGGUGGGUGAUGGGGUGGGAAUUGGCCACUCUUUUUCCCUAUAACCUCCCUAACAUGGCCUUCUAUUACAUCUAACAGAAAAAAAAUAAGAAAAAGAAGACUUAUUAAGUAUUAGUUAGAAUGUUUUUUUAUGAAGAUACCUGAUGAACUUUUUUUUUAUUGUUGGGAAGAAUAGUAGCAAGAUUAAUCAGAUGUUUUACUCAGAAGAAGAAGAAGAUAAAGCAGUUUUAUGACUCGACAAGCCAGAGAUUGGUGUUUCCCCUCUGCGCUUCUAUUGACUACGUUGUUUACUCUCAUGGGAUAGCUGGUUCGGCACCAUGGAGAGAGAUUGGUGGGCAUUGUGGUUGCCCCCAGAAGAAAAGAAGAGUAGAAGAGGUUAUGGGUGGGUCAUGUGAACUGACCUUCAACCCAGUUACUUCGUGGGGACUAUUUGCUGUAUAGAGAAGAUCAAGACUCAAGAGUUAGGGAAAAUCAUUGGAGGUCAUGUUUCCCUUCCUUAAGUUUUUCCUAUCAAAUUAUUUGCCUGAUUAGAUUAUGCUAAGGGUGGGAUACUUUAUGUUAGCAGUUGAAUUAAUUAAUUUUAUUUUUUUGUGUGUUUGCAUCCUUGCCCAUCGAUUGCAGUUUAGUAGUUAGUUUUGUAUUUGUCAGGCGUGAUGGUAAUGCCUGUUGAUGAUGUUUCAGAAUUGUAAUCUGUUCGUGAUGAGGAUGGCACAACUCCGAAGCAGAUGUGGGGAGAAGUUGUGAGCUGCCCUGGAAGCCAGUCCAGUAGCUGUUGGAGUUGAGUGGUGUUUGCUGAUGGCCAGCCCAGGGAGCUACUCUUCUCGACAACACUGACUUCGAGGAGUUGCACCAACCUUCACGAGAUAGAGUUUAAUUAAUUUGAAACACUGAUAAUUUUGUAAGGACACUUAAUUUUUUUUGAAGAACGAAAGAAGUAUGGUAAUAAACGGAAACCGAAAAAAAAAAAAUAAUAAUAAUUAUCAAGAAUUUGCACAUUGUUUAACGAAUACUGAGAAACUAAGAACAGUAAUUUAAUUUGUAAAGAGAGCUUCACUAACAGAACAAUUUUUUUAGAAUUGAGAACUCGAGCCUCUGAAGGUUCCUGUGAGAACAAACCAGAUAAAAGUUUUACAUUUAAUUUUAUGAAUACUUGUUGUUUUAAAAUAAAUCUUAUGCAGAAUCUAGAUGUAUGUUCAGACAGCAAGGAACUAAGAAAAUUAUUAUUUUUGUGAAAUGAGGAAUUUAUAGUUAUGGUUUAAUGGAAAAAGACAAUUUGUAAUUUUGAGGUAGCUCGAUGGGGCUCGAGCUCUGUGAGGGGAGGGUUAUGUCGCGGGUUGAAAUUUUGCAGGGUUGUUGAAAUCAAAUUUAGGGACUUUACUGACGGGACUCUGGGCUGGCUGCUCUGUUCACUCGUCAGCGCAAGUGGCGUGACCAUGUAAUUGGGGCACGGGGCCGGCGCGGCGCGCUGCGGGCUU